AAUAGAUACCCGGGUAGUCCACGCCGUAAACGAUGAAUGCUAGCCGUUGGCCGGUUUACCGAUCAGUGGCGCAGCUAACGCUUUAAGCACUCCGCCUGGGGAGUACGGCCGCAAGACUGAAACUCAAAGGAAUUGACGGGGGCCCGCACAAGCGGUGGAGCAUGUGGUUUAAUUCGAAGCAACGCGAAGAACCUUACCAGGUCUUGACAUCCUCUGACAACUCUAGAGAUAGAGCGUUCCCCUUCGGGGGACAGAGUGACAGGUGGUGCAUGGUUGUCGUCAGCUCGUGUCGUGAGAUGUUGGGUUAAGUCCCGCAACGAGCGCAACCCUUGAUCUUAGUUGCCAGCAUUCAGUUGGGCACUCUAAGGUGACUGCCGGUGACAAACCGGAGGAAGGUGGGGAUGACGUCAAAUCAUCAUGCCCCUUAUGACCUGGGCUACACACGUGCUACAAUGGAUGGUACAAAGAGCUGCGAACCCGCGAGGGUAAGCGAAUCUCAUAAAAGCCAUUCUCAGUUCGGAUUGUAGGU
RNAcentral lists this ribosomal RNA (529 nucleotides) under uncultured bacterium. RNAcentral describes it as "bacterial SSU rRNA". It matches the Rfam family "Bacterial small subunit ribosomal RNA", at positions 777 to 1305 of the family's 1533-position model. The record is from RNAcentral.